CAAAUUAAAGCUUUUAUUUAAGCGUUUUAUUUACAUUAAAAAGAAUACUUUAGUUGUAUAAUUUGA
Molecule: transfer RNA, 66 nt
Filed under: Hadroplontus ancora
Lineage: Eukaryota; Metazoa; Arthropoda; Insecta; Coleoptera; Curculionidae
Description: tRNA-Val
Source: RNAcentral